GCGGACGGGUGAGUAACACGUGGAUAACCUACCUAUAAGACUGGGAUAACUUCGGGAAACCGGAGCUAAUACCGGAUAAUAUUUUGAACCGCAUGGUUCAAAAGUGAAAGACGGUCUUGCUGUCACUUAUAGAUGGAUCCGCGCUGCAUUAGCUAGUUGGUAAGGUAACGGCUUACCAAGGCAACGAUGCAUAGCCGACCUGAGAGGGUGAUCGGCCACACUGGAACUGAGACACGGUCCAGACUCCUACGGGAGGCAGCAGUAGGGAAUCUUCCGCAAUGGGCGAAAGCCUGACGGAGCAACGCCGCGUGAGUGAUGAAGGUCUUCGGAUCGUAAAACUCUGUUAUUAGGGAAGAACAUAUGUGUAAGUAACUGUGCACAUCUUGACGGUACCUAAUCAGAAAGCCACGGCUAACUACGUGCCAGCAGCCGCGGUAAUACGUAGGUGGCAAGCGUUAUCCGGAAUUAUUGGGCGUAAAGCGCGCGUAGGCGGUUUUUUAAGUCUGAUGUGAAAGCCCACGGCUCAACCGUGGAGGGUCAUUGGAAACUGGAAAACUUGAGUGCAGAAGAGGAAAGUGGAAUUCCAUGUGUAGCGGUGAAAUGCGCAGAGAUAUGGAGGAACACCAGUGGCGAAGGCGACUUUCUGGUCUGUAACUGACGCUGAUGUGCGAAAGCGUGGGGAUCAAACAGGAUUAGAUACCCUGGUAGUCCACGCCGUAAACGAUGAGUGCUAAGUGUUAGGGGGUUUCCGCCCCUUAGUGCUGCAGCUAACGCAUUAAGCACUCCGCCUGGGGAGUACGACCGCAAGGUUGAAACUCAAAGGAAUUGACGGGGACCCGCACAAGCGGUGGAGCAUGUGGUUUAAUUCGAAGCAACGCGAAGAACCUUACCAAAUCUUGACAUCCUUUGACAACUCUAGAGAUAGAGCUUUCCCCUUCGG
Molecule: ribosomal RNA, 940 nt
Filed under: Staphylococcus aureus
Lineage: Bacteria; Bacillati; Bacillota; Bacilli; Caryophanales; Staphylococcaceae
Description: bacterial SSU rRNA
Rfam family: Bacterial small subunit ribosomal RNA
Source: RNAcentral